GUUCACUGCCGUACAGGUAGCUUAGAAA
Non-coding RNA from Methylomicrobium album BG8, 28 nucleotides. The record is from Rfam. Lineage: Bacteria; Pseudomonadati; Pseudomonadota; Gammaproteobacteria; Methylococcales; Methylococcaceae.